GCUGGGUGUGGUGGCGGGUGCCUGUAAUCCCAGCUACUUGGGAGGCUGAGGCAGGAGAAUCACUUGAAUCCAGGAGGUCGAGGUUGCAGUGAGCCGAGAUGGCACCACUGUACUCUAGCCUGGGCCACAGAGUGAGACUCUGCCUUAA
RNAcentral lists this non-coding RNA (148 nucleotides) under Gorilla gorilla gorilla (western lowland gorilla). The record is from Rfam by way of RNAcentral. Lineage: Eukaryota; Metazoa; Chordata; Mammalia; Primates; Hominidae.